This 514-nucleotide ribosomal RNA is filed under the name Acrochordus javanicus. RNAcentral describes it as "partial 16S ribosomal RNA". It matches the Rfam family "Bacterial large subunit ribosomal RNA", at positions 1816 to 2598 of the family's 2925-position model. Lineage: Eukaryota; Metazoa; Chordata; Lepidosauria; Squamata; Acrochordidae. The record is from RNAcentral.
AACCUUUAGCCCAACGAGUAUUAAAGGCAACGCCUGCCCAGUGAACACAUUCAACGGCCGCGGUACCCUAACCGUGCAAAGGUAGCGUAAUCACUUGUCUAUUAAUUGUAGACCAGUAUGAACGGCAACAUGAGAGCCUAACUGUCUCUUGUAAUUAAUCAAUUAAACUGAUCUUCCAGUACAAAAGCUGGAAUAAAGCCAUAAGACCAGAAGACCCUGUGAAGCUUUAAUUAAACUGCUAACCCGAAUAGUAGCUAAUUUCGGUUGGGGCGACCUCGGAACAAAAAUAAACUUCCGAAUCACAUGAGACCUUCCCUCAUACAAUUAAGGCUUACAAGCCUCUACAAUGACCCAGUAUUACUGAUAAAUGAACCAAGUUACUCCAGGGAUAACAGCGCCAUCUUCUUCAAGAGCCCAUAUCAAAAAGAAGGUUUACGACCUCGAUGUUGGAUCAGGACACCCAGAUGGUGCAGCCGCUAUCAAAGGUUCGUUUGUUCAACGAUUAACAGUCCUA